UACAGAGGGUGCGAGCGUUACUCGGAAUUACUGGGCGUAAAGCGUGCGUAGACGGCUAUCUAAGUCGGGUGUGAAAGCCCCGGGCUCAACCUGGGAAUUGCAUUCGAGACUGAAUAGCUAGGGUACGGUAGAGGGAAGUGGAAUUUCCGGUGGAGCGGUGAAAUGCGUAGAUAUCGGAAGGAACAUCAGUGGCGAAAGCGACUUCCUGGACCAGUACCGACGUUCAGGCACGAAAGCGUGGGGAGCAAACAGG
RNAcentral lists this ribosomal RNA (253 nucleotides) under uncultured bacterium. Its description in RNAcentral is "partial 16S ribosomal RNA". It matches the Rfam family "Bacterial small subunit ribosomal RNA", at positions 524 to 776 of the family's 1533-position model. The record is from RNAcentral.